UGAACCAUUUGCAAGCCUAGCCUCCACUGGGGAGAAGUCUGUUCUCAGAGUGAGGAGCUCUGCACGCGUUGGCUAAAAGGGUGGCGUGGCUUUGUGAAAUUGAGAGCUGGAGGAGCCCAGCAGAAUGAACCAGGUUGUUCAGCCCUUAAUGAGCAGACACUCUGCGUGUAGAGGCAGCCAGGCCCACCUCUCAUGGCUGUGGACCUCUGUCCCCCUCUGCUGGCCACUCACAGAAUUUCCUGCUGGCACUGUCAAGAUGAAGUCCAAGGAGGAAGAGACUGCUGUCGAUAAGGGAGACCUGGUGGCCCUGAGCCUCCCCGCCGGCCAUGGUGACACUGACGGCCCCAUCAGCCUGGACGUGCCCGAUGGGGCACCGGACCCCCAGCGGACCAAGGCCGCCAUUGACCACCUGCACCAGAAGAUCCUGAAGAUCACCGAGCAGAUCAAGAUCGAGCAGGAGGCUCGCGACGACAAUGUGGCGGAGUACCUGAAACUGGCCAACAACGCGGACAAGCAGCAGGUGUCACGCAUCAAGCAAGUGUUCGAGAAGAAGAACCAGAAGUCAGCCCAGACCAUCGCCCAGCUGCACAAGAAGCUGGAGCACUACCGCCGGCGCCUGAAGGAGAUUGAGCAGAACGGGCCCUCGCGGCAGCCCAAGGACGUGCUGCGGGACAUGCAGCAGGGGCUGAAGGACGUGGGCGCCAACGUGCGCGCAGGCAUCAGCGGCUUUGGGGGCGGCGUGGUGGAGGGCGUCAAGGGCAGCCUCUCUGGCCUCUCACAGGCCACCCACACCGCCGUGGUGUCCAAGCCCCGGGAGUUUGCCAGCCUCAUCCGCAACAAGUUUGGCAGUGCUGACAACAUCGCCCACCUGAAGGACCCCCUGGAAGAUGGG
RNAcentral lists this small RNA (892 nucleotides) under Pan troglodytes (chimpanzee). RNAcentral's name for it is "processed transcript". Lineage: Eukaryota; Metazoa; Chordata; Mammalia; Primates; Hominidae. The record is from RNAcentral.